CUGUUUCCAUUUGGGGGUGAUUUUGAAUAGCUGCAGCUGCUUUCAACAACGAUCCCUGUGGGCUGAGGCUGCAGCAUGUGGAGCUGGGGUCAUCCUUGCCUGGCCGUGGAAAGCGAGAAGAGAAACACCCGCGAUCCUGAGCCCUCCUGGAUGAGCAGGGAAGAGGCAAUCUUUUCAUAACCACCCAGGUGGAGAUACCGGCUCUGCUGUCCCCAGGUGAGUAAUUGCACAGCUGAUUCACCUCAGGGGAGGCACGAUGGGACGGAGGGAAAGAAAUGUCGCAUGCCUGGGAACCUGGGAUUCUGCUGCACUGGAAGAUUAGGAGAAAAGCAUCCCAAGUGCUGGCAGGAAACCUUCUUCUGAGUCCCUUUGCUCGAAGGAGGGCACUUUCUCUGCAGUCACUCUGGGUAAACCACUCCUGGAAGGCAGCGGGUUAGAGCCCAUGCCAGGUGGGAGCAAGGAGCAGGGAACAGUUUGGGCUCCCUGGCCAGCCUCCCUAAAGGCCUCUGAUCCCCUCGUGCUGUGGACUGGCGCCCUGGCCUCCCAUGGCAUGAUUAGCCGGGACACCCCAACAGCUAGGCUUGGGGUUAGGCUGACCUGAGUGACCAUUUAAUGGUGCCAGCCAGUUCAAGUGUUUGACUUCCUGAAAUUUGCAUCGAUGUUCAAAAAAUAUCCUAAGAGGUGAGCGGAUGACCCUGGCACAUAAGUACCUAGCACAGAAUCGCCUAGAGUAGACGUGAAGAGCCACCAUGAGCUAAUGUGAUGUGUGCUGAUGCAUGUCCCCAGGAACCAUGGGCCUCAGGGCAGCCCGGGUGGCUCAGCGGUUUAGUGCCUACUUCAGCCCAGGGUGUCAUCCUGGAGACCCGGGAUCGAGUCCCACGUCGGGCUCCCUGCAUGGAGCCUGCUUCUC
Long non-coding RNA from Canis lupus familiaris (dog), 910 nucleotides. RefSeq lists it as uncharacterized. The record is from RefSeq and is a predicted model, not a curated record. The transcript is spliced from 3 exons. NCBI's taxonomy places the organism in Eukaryota, Metazoa, Chordata, Mammalia, Carnivora, Canidae.